GAACGCUGGCGGCAAGCCUAACACAUGCAAGUCGAACGGACAAUUAUUUAUAGCCUCUGGCUAUAGGAAAUUGUUAGUGGCAGACGGGUGAGUAAUGCGUAGGAAUCUACCUAGUAGUACGGAAUAGCCAUUAGAAAUGGUGGGUAAUACUGUAUAAUCCCCGAGGGGGAAAGAUUUAUCGCUAUUAGAUGAGCCUACGUUAGAUUAGCUAGUUGGUGAGGUAAUGGCUUACCAAGGCUAUGAUCUAUAGCUGGUCUGAGAGGACGAUCAGCCACACUGGAACUGAGAUACGGUCCAGACUCCUACGGGAGGCAGCAGUGGGGAAUAUUGGACAAUGGGCGAAAGCUGAUCCAGCUAUGCCGCGUGAGUGAAGAAGGCCUUCGGGUUGUAAAACUCUUUCAAUAGGGAAGAUAAUGACGGUACCUAUAGAAGAAGUCC
RNAcentral lists this ribosomal RNA (438 nucleotides) under Ehrlichia sp. RNAcentral's name for it is "bacterial SSU rRNA". It matches the Rfam family "Bacterial small subunit ribosomal RNA", at positions 31 to 493 of the family's 1533-position model. Lineage: Bacteria; Pseudomonadati; Pseudomonadota; Alphaproteobacteria; Rickettsiales; Anaplasmataceae. The record is from RNAcentral.